UCCUACGGGGGGCUGCAGUAGGGAAUAUUGGUCAAUGGGUGAGAGCCUGAACCAGCCAUGCCGCGUGCAGGAAGAAGGCCUUCUGGGUUGUAAACUGCUUUUGCCAGGGGAUAAAAGAUCCCUGCGGGGAAAAUUGAAGGUACCUGGUGAAUAAGCCACGGCUAACUACGUGCCAGCAGCCGCGGUAAUACGUAGGUGGCAAGCGUUGUCCGGAUUUAUUGGGUUUAAAGGGUGCGUAGGCGGUUCUGUAAGUCAGUGGUGAAAUACGGCAGCUUAACUGUCGAGGUGCCAUUGAUACUGCGGGACUUGAGUACAGACGAGGUAGGCGGAAUUGACGGUGUAGCGGUGAAAUGCUUAGAUAUCGUCAAGAACACCGAUAGCGAAGGCAGCUUACUAGACUGUAACUGACGCUGAGGCACGAAAGUGUGGGGAUCAAACAGGAUUAGAUACCCCGGUAGUC
This 460-nucleotide ribosomal RNA is filed under the name uncultured Cytophagaceae bacterium. Its description in RNAcentral is "bacterial SSU rRNA". It matches the Rfam family "Bacterial small subunit ribosomal RNA", at positions 337 to 795 of the family's 1533-position model. Lineage: Bacteria; Pseudomonadati; Bacteroidota; Cytophagia; Cytophagales; Cytophagaceae. The record is from RNAcentral.